This 253-nucleotide ribosomal RNA is filed under the name uncultured bacterium. RNAcentral's name for it is "partial 16S ribosomal RNA". It matches the Rfam family "Bacterial small subunit ribosomal RNA", at positions 524 to 776 of the family's 1533-position model. The record is from RNAcentral.
UACGUAGGUGGCAAGCGUUGUCCGGAAUUAUUGGGCGUAAAGCGCGCGCAGGUGGUUUCUUAAGUCUGAUGUGAAAGCCCACGGCUCAACCGUGGAGGGUCAUUGGAAACUGGGGAACUUGAGUGCAGGAGAGAAGAGUGGAAUUCCACGUGUAGCGGUGAAAUGCGUAGAGAUGUGGAGGAACACCGAUGGCGAAGGCAGCCCCCUGGGCUGAGAUUGACGCUCAGGCACGAAAGCGUGGGGAGCAAACAGG